GUCCACGCCGUAAACGAUGAACACUUGGUGUUGCAGGUAUUGACCCCUGCAGUGCCGAAGCUAACGCGUUAAGUGUUCCGCCUGGGAAGUACGGUCGCAAGAUUAAAACUCAAAGAAAUUGACGGGGCCCGCACAAGCGGUGGAGCAUGUGGUUCAAUUCGAUGCAACGCGAAAACCUUUACCUGGGUUUGAAGUGCUAGUGAAUGCUGUAGAGAUAUGGCAGGCCUUGGGACACUAGUAUCAGGUGCUGCAUGGCUGUCGU
This 262-nucleotide ribosomal RNA is filed under the name uncultured bacterium. RNAcentral describes it as "partial 16S ribosomal RNA". It matches the Rfam family "Bacterial small subunit ribosomal RNA", at positions 793 to 1055 of the family's 1533-position model. The record is from RNAcentral.